CGAGCUGACCUGCGGAGGUCAUUACCGAGUGUAGGGUUCCUAGCGAGCCCAACCUCCCACCCGUGUUUACUGUACCUUAGUUGCUUCGGCGGGCCCGCCAUUCAUGGCCGCCGGGGGCUCUCAGCCCCGGGCCCGCGCCCGCCGGAGACACCACGAACUCUGUCUGAUCUAGUGAAGUCUGAGUUGAUUGUAUCGCAAUCAGUUAAAACUUUCAACAAUGGAUCUCUUGGUUCCGGCAUCGAUGAAGAACGCAGCGAAAUGCGAUAACUAGUGUGAAUUGCAGAAUUCCGUGAAUCAUCGAGUCUUUGAACGCACAUUGCGCCCCCUGGUAUUCCGGGGGGCAUGCCUGUCCGAGCGUCAUUGCUGCCCAUCAAGCACGGCUUGUGUGUUGGGUCGUCGUCCCCUCUCCGGGGGGGACGGGCCCCAAAGGCAGCGGCGGCACCGCGUCCGAUCCUCGAGCGUAUGGGGCUUUGUCACCCGCUCUGUAGGCCCGGCCGGCGCUUGCCGAACGCAAAUCAAUCUUUUUCCAGGUUGACCUCGGAUCAGGUAGGGAUACCCGCUGAACUUAAGCAUAUCAAAAA
This 581-nucleotide ribosomal RNA is filed under the name Aspergillus sp. RNAcentral describes it as "partial 18S ribosomal RNA". The stretch from base 207 to 360 matches the Rfam family "5.8S ribosomal RNA". The record is from RNAcentral. Lineage: Eukaryota; Fungi; Ascomycota; Eurotiomycetes; Eurotiales; Aspergillaceae.